This 232-nucleotide ribosomal RNA is filed under the name uncultured bacterium. RNAcentral describes it as "partial 16S ribosomal RNA". It matches the Rfam family "Bacterial small subunit ribosomal RNA", at positions 99 to 334 of the family's 1533-position model. The record is from RNAcentral.
CGGACGGGUGAGUAAUGUCUGGGAAACUGCCCGAUGGAGGGGGAUAACUACUGGAAACGGUAGCUAAUACCGCAUAACGUCGCAAGACCAAAGCGGGGGACCUCCGGGCCUCGCGCCAUCAGAUGAACCCAUAUGGGAUUAGCUUGUAGGUAAGGUAACGGCUUACCUAGGCGACGAUCCCUAGCUGGUCUGAGAGGAUGAUCAGCCACACUGGGACUGAGACACGGCCCAG